This 365-nucleotide long non-coding RNA is filed under the name Lepidothrix coronata (blue-crowned manakin). RNAcentral's name for it is "lncRNA (ENSLCOG00000008580.1)". Lineage: Eukaryota; Metazoa; Chordata; Aves; Passeriformes; Pipridae. The record is from RNAcentral.
CCUGUCCGCUCGCCGAAAGGAAACCGGUAUUGUGUUCUGGCAGCCCAAAACAACCCCGACCGAGUCGCACGGCCUCUACAGCAAAAUCCGGCUAAUUUCGCACAAAGGAAUCAACCGUAAAGGCAGUUGUCUUGAUGCUUUAUUUUUUCUCUUUUCCUAAUUUCUUAUUUAUACUUCUUACCUUGUUUGGAAAAGAGAAUGUGAGGAAGCCAGUCCAUGUGGAUAUCAUUGAAGAUGUAAAAAAACUUCCUGGGAGACACAACUUAGAGCUUCCCACGUCACCACUACAUACACAACAUAAGUCAAACCUAGAUGAUCUCCAGAACAGGUUACAAAAGCAAGUACUGGACAGCAGAAGGCAGCAU